GCAAGUCGAACGUGAACGUCCUUCGGGGCAAGUAAAGUGGCGCACGGGUGAGUAACGCGUGGAUAAUCUACCCUUAAGAUGGGGCUAACGGCUGGAAACGGUCGCUAAUACCGAAUACGCUCCCGAUUUUAUCAUUGGGGGGAAAGAUGGCCUCUGCUUGCAAGCUAUCGCUUAAGGAUGAGUCCGCGUACGAUUAGCUAGUUGGCGGGGUAACGGCCCACCAAGGCGACGAUGGGUAGCCGGUCUGAGAGGAUGACC
Molecule: ribosomal RNA, 258 nt
Filed under: uncultured bacterium
Lineage: Bacteria
Description: partial 16S ribosomal RNA
Rfam family: Bacterial small subunit ribosomal RNA
Source: RNAcentral